AUAAAGAAGAGACUUCUACACAUACAAAGUAGGUAGUAGAUAGCUAUGAGUUCCUUCUUAAUGCGAUGUUCGUUUGAUUUUCCAUCUUGUUGCGGUGUUCGUUUGAUUUCCUGCCUUGAAGCGGUGUUCGUUUGAUUUCCCAUCUUGAAGCGGUGUUUGUUUGAUUUCUUGACGUGUUAUAAUGUUCGUCUGGUUCAGAUUGACAGAUCAACUUCCACCAACUACCGAUUCAACCAUUGAUUAAAGUCAUAAACGAUGCAGAUCCAAAGACAUAAGUAUUCUAGUGAUUUUAUUUUAUCACAUUAUUUGUAGGCAUAGUUUAACAUUUUAUUGUAUUAACUUGAUUGUUUUGAGUUUGUUCGCUGAUUCAUCCUUUUUGGUUUUUAGAGGUGUUGAAUGAAUUAGUGCUUGGAUCUAAUUGCCUCUGCCAAUUUUUUCGGUUGAUUGGACUCUACCAAUUUAAAGGAAUACAUAUACACA
Molecule: long non-coding RNA, 480 nt
Filed under: Trifolium pratense (red clover)
Lineage: Eukaryota; Viridiplantae; Streptophyta; Magnoliopsida; Fabales; Fabaceae
Description: long non-coding RNA (TPRA_LNC008100)
Source: RNAcentral